ACAAAAAGAUGCGUGCUGUUGAGAUGCCUCAAUCAAGAUGGUCGAGCACUUCAACAAAAAAACAAAGGGGAAAAAAGAAAGAAAGAUGACAAUACACUUUCGAGCCCGAGACAUGAAUUCUUGUAGGCAGUCUCAAUCAGCCACUUGAUUGGUGUCAGUUAUCUGUUCCUCACGCUCGUUUCAUCCAAAGCAAUCGAGUUAGCAGCAGCAGAGCGCAUGCGUUGAAUGAUUUCCCUUCUCACGGCAUUGGACAUGUCUCCUACUCGUAAAAUGAUUUCGCUUCUUCGCUCGGAGGACAAGCAGAGCAAUUCUAACUCAUUGGCACAAUCAGCAACUUUCUCAUCCUCGAGAUUCCUUGUACCCUUCAUUCAAUGAUUUCUCACCCUCGCUUCGAUCCACCACACACAUUUAUUCUUCUCGUCCUUGGCCAGAUUUUUCACCACGGAGAUCAUCGUUUUCCCUCCCCUGCCGAGAAAUGAAUUCAAGUUCAGAUCGCAGAAACAUGGCAGUGCUGCCAUCAUUCACAGACCGUUCUGCCAAGGUGAGCUGUGAUCAGGUAGACAGUGUUGCGGUAUGGUACAUCAUUACUUCUGUUCUAUUGUUGCUCAGAUGGUAAUGAUAGUUCAAAGGCUUAAAUUACACCAAGCACCUAAAAGUUCUGUAUCAAAACUGAACAGCUUAUGCAUCACAGCCAAAACAUGUUUUGCAUGCUCUUUUAAAGUAUAGUUUUAAUUUAGAAACAUAAGCAAUUUUCUACUGAAACAUAAGCUUAAUUACUGAAGAUAUAGAGGAUAAUAAAAGGUUUCAGUGGCAACAUGAAGUCAAAAAGUUAGAGUCUUCCUUAUUCGAAGGGUAGUAAUAAAACAUAACUGCAAGGGUACCAAGUACAUACCUGGAUCUCAUUAGGUCAAGUGGCCUCUCUUCCCCAGGGCACACCUCCCAUCAAGCAUAUACAUUGACCUACUGGAACAAAGAGAGCAUGCUCAUUAAUAACCAUGGCUUGGAAGCAGCUUGAUGAUGAGGAAAAGAUGGAGAUGCAUGCUACUUACCACCCACCAUUUGCAUGCAUGUAGAUAUCAAAUUCAAAUGCACAACCUGCAACUGAAAAGGGCUCAGACAAAUAAAUAUUUAAAUGUAAUAAGGAACCACAUGGGGGGUCUCUUCCAGACUCAUGCCCCCAGGUAAUAAUAUUUCCAUGUUUCCUGCAGUUAUAUCUACCACUAUUCCUGGCUUGUCAAAACAGUUUCUUAAGGUAAAUUAACAUGACCAGCACAGAGGCCACCGGGCUCUUUAUUUAUACCUUCUCUGUCAUGCAAAUGGAAAUAACAAGAUUCUGGAAGACAUUAUAAGCAAACAAGAUAAAUUAUCAUGACCAAGACAGAGGCCUGAACAUCAGUACUGGACCCAGCUGCAUCAAUAAAGUAAAGUUGUAGU
This 1434-nucleotide long non-coding RNA is filed under the name Musa acuminata (dwarf banana). RNAcentral's name for it is "long non-coding RNA (MACU_LNC000852)". Lineage: Eukaryota; Viridiplantae; Streptophyta; Magnoliopsida; Zingiberales; Musaceae. The record is from RNAcentral.